RNAcentral lists this ribosomal RNA (591 nucleotides) under soil bacterium PB-P1-3. RNAcentral's name for it is "bacterial SSU rRNA". It matches the Rfam family "Bacterial small subunit ribosomal RNA", at positions 355 to 939 of the family's 1533-position model. The record is from RNAcentral.
UGGGGAAUUUUGGACAAUGGGCGAAAGCCUGAUCCAGCCAUGCCGCGUGCAGGAUGAAGGCCUUCGGGUUGUAAACUGCUUUUGUACGGAACGAAACGGCCUUUUCUAAUAAAGAGGGCUAAUGACGGUACCGUAAGAAUAAGCACCGGCUAACUACGUGCCAGCAGCCGCGGUAAUACGUAGGGUGCAAGCGUUAAUCGGAAUUACUGGGCGUAAAGCGUGCGCAGGCGGUUAUGUAAGACAGUUGUGAAAUCCCCGGGCUCAACCUGGGAACUGCAUCUGUGACUGCAUAGCUAGAGUACGGUAGAGGGGGAUGGAAUUCCGCGUGUAGCAGUGAAAUGCGUAGAUAUGCGGAGGAACACCGAUGGCGAAGGCAAUCCCCUGGACCUGUACUGACGCUCAUGCACGAAAGCGUGGGGAGCAAACAGGAUUAGAUACCCUGGUAGUCCACGCCCUAAACGAUGUCAACUGGUUGUUGGGUCUUCACUGACUCAGUAACGAAGCUAACGCGUGAAGUUGACCGCCUGGGGAGUACGGCCGCAAGGUGGAACGCAUUAAGCAAUCCGCCUGGGGAGUACGGUCGCAAGAUUA